Molecule: long non-coding RNA, 418 nt
Filed under: Nicotiana benthamiana
Lineage: Eukaryota; Viridiplantae; Streptophyta; Magnoliopsida; Solanales; Solanaceae
Description: long non-coding RNA (NBEN_LNC042635)
Source: RNAcentral
UAGUCAUUAUGAAUAGGGGCUGGACUAUUUUUGUAAUUAAUGUAUACUCCUUAACAGGAAUAGUCCUUUAUAUAUGCAAAGAGGUAACUUUAGUCUACGACCUUAAUCCAACAGUUUCUUCCAGAAAAUCAGUUAAGUUUAAAUGAGAUAUUCCAUGAAUGAUUACUGGAGUUUGAAAAUUUAUAAGUUCAAAUCCCAUGAUUUGUUACAGGACAAAAAGAAACACGCACACACAGACACAAGUAGUAGAAGAAGACAACAAAAUUGAUCUGCCAAAACCAAACCUUAAAUCAGAAACACUAGCUGAAAGCUGAACUCCGGUUUCUGCAUCAACGGGGAGUGAAAUGGAGCGGACAGGUUAAUUUGAAGUUUAGGGUUCAGGUCUUUCAAGGACGGACUAAUAGCAGUCAAACUUCUA